This 337-nucleotide long non-coding RNA is filed under the name Saimiri boliviensis boliviensis (Bolivian squirrel monkey). RNAcentral's name for it is "lncRNA (ENSSBOG00000036718.1)". The record is from RNAcentral. Lineage: Eukaryota; Metazoa; Chordata; Mammalia; Primates; Cebidae.
UGGCCAUGAAUGAACAAAAGGAGAAAAUUACAGAAAAAGGAAUUCUUUCAAUGACAACAAGGGAACACCAUAAAGGGCAAGAAGAAGUGAGCAGGCUGAUUGAUGAAUUGCAGACAGCUAUCAAAAGCAACAGAGGUCAUCUCUCUAAACUUGGCCCCCAAUUACAGGCUGAGCAGGAGCAAUUCUCUUCUUAUGUCUACCAACACAUUAAAAGCCUUCCAGCAAACACGCUUGUCCCAGGAGGCCUACAGCUCAAGGUAUUUGAAAAUGGUAAAAACACUGGAGAGAUCUCUGUUUGUAUCAGUAAAAAAGAUUUGGGAUCUGAUAGCCCAAUUCA